GUCAAUAUGGUGUUGCAGCUUAUAGUUAAACCUCGUACUUUACACGAGGUUAGGAUCAGGGUAUCACUUAGAUUCUACAGGGAGUUCAAGACGCGGGAGAAGAGUAAAAAGAACGAAACAACCCUGCUUGUGUUGUUUUCCGAAAAAUUCGAAGUUACGUUCCGAAGCAAUUCCGAGCCUCAGAAGGAGGAAGAACGAAGAUAGCGGUCCAGUAAUGCUUCAGUAUGUGAUGGCGACGACGACGGCGUUUGAGCGGGAUCGUUACAACGGCUACACGCCGGCACAUCUGGAUACGCAAAUUUCUUCCAUGAAAUGAAAAACACUUCAAUUUUGUAAAUUAAUUUAACUGGGUUCCACCGUUCGAUAAACUAAAUCGUGUAUUGAACCUUUCUACUUUAGCGAGUGAGGCAACUUCUACGCGAAACGAAAGCGUACGAAAAAAACAAGACAGCAUCGAAGUGUCGGUGUCCUUGCUCUUGGUAACUUCCGGAGCUGAACCUUAUUGGCCGUAACUUUACAAUAGCUUUACAUAGCGAACCAUAACGGAA
Molecule: long non-coding RNA, 548 nt
Organism: Varroa destructor (honeybee mite)
Lineage: Eukaryota; Metazoa; Arthropoda; Arachnida; Mesostigmata; Varroidae
Gene: kkv
Source: RefSeq, a predicted model, not a curated record